Molecule: transfer RNA, 80 nt
Filed under: Ranunculus occidentalis
Lineage: Eukaryota; Viridiplantae; Streptophyta; Magnoliopsida; Ranunculales; Ranunculaceae
Description: tRNA-Ile
Rfam family: tRNA (bases 2-52)
About the family: Transfer RNA (tRNA) molecules are approximately 80 nucleotides in length.
Source: RNAcentral
CGGGCUAUUAGCUCAGUGGUAGAGCGCGCCCCUGAUAAGGGCUAUUAGCUCAGUGGUAGAGCGCGCCCCUGAUAAUUGCG